AUACGACCAUACCCACUGGAGAACUCGGGAUCCCGUCCGCUCUCCCAUAGAUAAGCCAGUGAGGGCCGGAUCAGUAGUUGGGUCGGUGACGACCAGCGAAUACCUGGUGUUGUAUG
Molecule: ribosomal RNA, 116 nt
Filed under: Colletotrichum higginsianum
Lineage: Eukaryota; Fungi; Ascomycota; Sordariomycetes; Glomerellales; Glomerellaceae
Source: RNAcentral